Molecule: ribosomal RNA, 484 nt
Filed under: uncultured bacterium
Lineage: Bacteria
Description: partial 16S ribosomal RNA
Rfam family: Bacterial small subunit ribosomal RNA
Source: RNAcentral
AUUGAACGCUGGCGGCAGGCCUAACACAUGCAAGUCGAGCGGAUGAAGGGAGCUUGCUCCUGGAUUCAGCGGCGGACGGGUGAGUAAUGCCUAGGAAUCUGCCUGGUAGUGGGGGAUAACGUCCGGAAACGGGCGCUAAUACCGCAUACGUCCUGAGGGAGAAAGUGGGGGAUCUUCGGACCUCACGCUACCAGAUGAGCCUAAGUCGGAUUAGCUAGUUGGUGGGGUAAAGGCCUACCAAGGCGACGAUCCGUAACUGGUCUGAGAGGAUGAUCAGUCACACUGGAACUGCGACACGGUCCAGACUCCUACGGGAGGCAGCAGUGGGGAAUAUUGGACAAUGGGCGAAAGCCUGAUCCAGCCAUGCCGCGUGUGUGAAGAAGGUCUUCGGAUUGUAAAGCACUUUAAGUUGGGAGGAAGGGCAGUAAGUUAAUACCUUGCUGUUUUGACGUUACCAACAGAAUAAGCACCGGCUAACUUCGUG